CUUUGGAGUUGGCUCUUGUCUAUGUUCCUUGGAACAGGACGUCACAGAGGGUGAGAAUCCCGUGCGAUGAGAUGCCCAAUUCUAUGUAAAGUGCUUUCGAAGAGUCGAGUUGUUUGGGAAUGCAGCUCUAAGUGGGUGGUAAAUUCCAUCUAAAGCUAAAUAUUGGCGAGAGACCGAUAGCGAACAAGUACAGUGAUGGAAAGAUGAAAAGAACUUUGAAAAGAGAGUGAAAAAGUACGUGAAAUUGUUGAAAGGGAAGGGCUUGAGAUCAGACUUGGUAUUUUGCAAGCCUUACCUUCGUGGUGGGGUCCCCUGCAGUUUACUGGGCCAGCAUCGGUUUGGAUGGUAGGAUAAUGACUUGGGAAUGUGACUUUGCUUCGGUAAAGUGUUAUAGCCCUUGUUGAUACUGCCUGUCUAGACCGAGGACUGCGUCUUUUGACUAGGA
This 445-nucleotide ribosomal RNA is filed under the name Schwanniomyces polymorphus. RNAcentral's name for it is "eukaryotic LSU rRNA". It matches the Rfam family "Eukaryotic large subunit ribosomal RNA", at positions 162 to 612 of the family's 3401-position model. The record is from RNAcentral. Lineage: Eukaryota; Fungi; Ascomycota; Pichiomycetes; Serinales; Debaryomycetaceae.